GACCGCUCCGGUAGCCUUAGAGUUGGUUAGAGCGUCCUCCUCAGAUGCGGGAGGUCGUGGGUUCGAUCCCCGGUCGAGUCA
Potamilus streckersoni is the source of this 81-nucleotide non-coding RNA. NCBI's taxonomy places the organism in Eukaryota, Metazoa, Mollusca, Bivalvia, Unionida, Unionidae. The record is from the annotation of a GenBank genome assembly.